UACGUAGGUGGCAAGCGUUAUCCGGAAUUAUUGGGCGUAAAGCGCGCGUAGGCGGUUUCUUAAGUCUGAUGUGAAAGCCCACGGCUCAACCGUGGAGGGUCAUUGGAAACUGGGGAACUUGAGUGCAGAAGAGAAAAGCGGAAUUCCACGUGUAGCGGCGAAAUGCGUAGAGAUGUGGAGGAACACCAGUGGCGAAGGCGGCUUUUUGGUCUGUAACUGACGCUGAGGCGCGAAAGCGUGGGGAGCAAACAGG
Molecule: ribosomal RNA, 253 nt
Filed under: uncultured bacterium
Lineage: Bacteria
Description: partial 16S ribosomal RNA
Rfam family: Bacterial small subunit ribosomal RNA
Source: RNAcentral